Molecule: small RNA, 29 nt
Filed under: Bombyx mori (domestic silkworm)
Lineage: Eukaryota; Metazoa; Arthropoda; Insecta; Lepidoptera; Bombycidae
Description: ovarian small RNA-22392
Source: RNAcentral
UAGCCGUUUGUGCCGGAAUUGAAAUAAUU